RNAcentral lists this ribosomal RNA (494 nucleotides) under uncultured bacterium. RNAcentral describes it as "partial 16S ribosomal RNA". It matches the Rfam family "Bacterial small subunit ribosomal RNA", at positions 30 to 507 of the family's 1533-position model. The record is from RNAcentral.
AUUGAACGCUGGCGGCAUGCUUUACACAUGCAAGUCGAACGGCAGCGGGGAGGAGCUUGCUUCUCUGCCGGCGAGUGGCGAACGGGUGAGUAAUACAUCGGAACGUAUCGAGAAGAGGGGGAUAACCACCCGAAAGGGUGGCUAAUACCGCAUAAAUUCUGAGGAAGAAAGCUGGGGACCUAGGAAUAGGCCUAGCGCUUUUUGAGCGGCCGAUGUCGGAUUAGCUAGUUGGUGAGGUAAAGGCUCACCAAGGCGAAGAUCUGUAGCGGGUCUGAGAGGAUGAUCCGCCACACUGGGACUGAGACACGGCCCAGACUCCUACGGGAGGCAGCAGUGGGGAAUUUUGGACAAUGGGGGCAACCCUGAUCCAGCCAUGCCGCGUGUAUGAAGAAGGCCUUAGGGUUGUAAAGUACUUUUGUUAGGGAAGAAAAGUCAGCUGUGAAUAAUGGCUGAUACUGACGGUACCUAAAGAAUAAGCACCGGCUAACUACGUG